This 460-nucleotide ribosomal RNA is filed under the name uncultured bacterium. Its description in RNAcentral is "partial 16S ribosomal RNA". It matches the Rfam family "Bacterial small subunit ribosomal RNA", at positions 338 to 795 of the family's 1533-position model. The record is from RNAcentral.
CCUACGGGUGGCAGCAGUGACGAAUAUUGGUCAAUGGACGAGAGUCUGAACCAGCCAAGUAGCGUGAAGGAUGACUGCCCUAUGGGUUGUAAACUUCUUUUAUAUGGGCAUAAAACGUUCCACGUGUGGGAUUUUGUAUGUACCAUAUGAAUAAGGAUCGGCUAACUCCGUGCCAGCAGCCGCGGUAAUACGGAGGAUCCGAGCGUUAUCCGGAUUUAUUGGGUUUAAAGGGAGCGUAGGUGGAUUGUUAAGUCAGUUGUGAAAGUUUGCGGCUCAACCGUAAAAUUGCAGUUGAAACUGGCAGUCUUGAGUACAGUAGAGGUGGGCGGAAUUCGUGGUGUAGCGGUGAAAUGCUGAGAUAUCACGAAGAACUCCGAUUGCGAAGGCAGUUCACUGGACUGCAACUGACACUGAGGCUCGAAAGUGUGGGUAUCAAACAGGAUUAGAUACCCGAGUAGUC